Molecule: long non-coding RNA, 187 nt
Organism: Ostrinia nubilalis (European corn borer)
Lineage: Eukaryota; Metazoa; Arthropoda; Insecta; Lepidoptera; Crambidae
Exons: 3
Source: RefSeq, a predicted model, not a curated record
CAUGUUGCCUCUCGUGCUGCUCGCCGGCCUGGCGUGCGCGCGCGCGCACCCCGCAGAAUUUUCAGGAGAGGUGCCAUUCAAAUAUGCAAGUAAAAACAAGAGCGUUAGAGUUCUGGGAGUCCCAGAGCUGCCCCGCGGCUGCAUGUACGAGGGCCGCUGGUUCACGGAGGGCGCGGCGGUGGCGACG